Molecule: long non-coding RNA, 669 nt
Organism: Oryza brachyantha (malo sina)
Lineage: Eukaryota; Viridiplantae; Streptophyta; Magnoliopsida; Poales; Poaceae
Exons: 3
Source: RefSeq, a predicted model, not a curated record
CUGAGGAAGCUUUGGAUGAGAUAGAUUCUUUUGAGGUUGUUUCCUCUAAGAGAACAAAGAAGAAGAAAGGAAAAAUCCCAAUCCUAGUAAAAAGAAAGAGUGAUAGGAACAAAGGUCAAGUUGUCCCAGUUCAGAAGAGAGUUGAAUUCUUGGCUAAGAAAAAGAAUUUGGAUAACUCAGGGAUGAAGAUUAACUACCAUAAGAGUGAGGUGUUCUCAGUUGGAAUAUCCCCAGAAGAGGAGCAGCGAGUUGCUAACAUGCUUAAUUGCAAUUCAGUGGAAGAAGUUGUUGAGGGAAGAGGAGGCAAGUUUGCUAGGAGAAUGGAUUCUGAAACUUCAACUCGUGACAAGAAGUCUCAGGGAAGCAAGAAGAGGAUUUGGCUGAAACAAGAGAUCUAAUAGUUUGAGUUUUCUUAGUAGUCUGAGUAGGGGUUUUUUGGCGCUGGUACGCCUUCUGUGGGCUUUCAGCUCGUCAGUAGGUAUCUCAGUUAGGGAAAACAAGUUGUUCUUCUAUUUCUUGGUCUGUAGUUGCUGUAUAGAUGGGUGUUGCUCGAGGCUGGGCGGUUUGUAUGGCAAGCCGGUGGUUUCCCCGGUAGACCUUUGUUUGUUUUGUAUCCUUGGUGCUUUCUGAAAAGUUGGGCUCAGGCCUCCUUCCAAAAAAAAAAAAAUU